This 253-nucleotide ribosomal RNA is filed under the name uncultured bacterium. RNAcentral describes it as "partial 16S ribosomal RNA". It matches the Rfam family "Bacterial small subunit ribosomal RNA", at positions 524 to 776 of the family's 1533-position model. The record is from RNAcentral.
UACGUAGGGUGCAAGCGUUAAUCGGAUUCACUGGGCGUAAAGGGUGCGUAGGCGGUCGGGUAAGUCUGAUGUGAAAUCUCACAGCUUAACUGUGAAACUGCAUUGGAUACUAUCCGGCUUGAGGAAUGGAGGGGAGACUGGAAUACUUGGUGUAGCAGUGAAAUGCGUAGAUAUCAAGUGGAACACCAGUGGCGAAGGCGAGUCUCUGGACAUUUCCUGACGCUGAGGCACGAAAGCCAGGGGAGCAAACGGG